UACGGAGGGGGCAAGCGUUGUUCGGAAUUACUGGGCGUAAAGGGCGCGUAGGCGGCCGAUCGCGUCAGGUGUGAAAGCCCCGGGCUCAACCUGGGAAUGGCACUUGAUACGGAUUGGCUUGAAGCCGGAAGAGGAGGGUGGAAUUCCCAGUGUAGAGGUGAAAUUCGUAGAUAUUGGGAAGAACACCGAUGGCGAAGGCAGCCCUCUGGUCCGGUCUUGACGCUGAGGCGCGACAGCGUGGGGAGCAAACAGG
RNAcentral lists this ribosomal RNA (253 nucleotides) under uncultured bacterium. RNAcentral's name for it is "partial 16S ribosomal RNA". It matches the Rfam family "Bacterial small subunit ribosomal RNA", at positions 524 to 776 of the family's 1533-position model. The record is from RNAcentral.